RNAcentral lists this long non-coding RNA (773 nucleotides) under Phasianus colchicus (ring-necked pheasant). RNAcentral describes it as "lncRNA (ENSPCLG00000004854.1)". Lineage: Eukaryota; Metazoa; Chordata; Aves; Galliformes; Phasianidae. The record is from RNAcentral.
AGCUGACUGCGAGUUCAUGGAGCGGGAUGCCUUGGGAAGGGAUAGGACGUCUCCACCUGAGCGAGGAGAGGCACCUGGAGCAGAACGGAGGUGUAAUGCUGAGGAGCUGCAGGGGAGAGCAAGGCUUUGGUCACUUUGGAGUUGGAGAUCUUGAGCCAGGGAAGAGAUCCCAGCGAGAGGAGAAGAGAUGUCCCCAGCCUGACAGCUCCUUCCCGGCUGCGCUCUGCCCGCGCUCUGCCUGAUGUCUCCGUGUUCUCCACGAGGGACCCAACCUGCCAUGGCCCCAGCAAGAGGCAGCAUUGGCUGCUGGAUGUGGAGGGGUUCUGCAUUGCUUCGCACCUGUGGGGAGGGAGCCAGGGGAGGGGAAGUCUGGCAAAAAUCCUACAUAACUCUUGUACAUCACCUCCAGGACCCAAAUACCCCUGGGUAGAGAAUAUUUUUUAUAUAUAUAUAUAUAUAGUUCUAUAUAUAGAGAGAGCGCAAUAUAUAUAUAGUGAGCACUGUCCCAGCUGGGUGCAGGGAUGUUGGUGGGAGCAGGAGGGAGGUCUGAGCAGGACGGAUGCUGUGUUUAGGGGCUCUGCUCAUGGAGCAGAGCUUGGCCUAUGCUGUCUGUGUGUGUGUGAUGGACUGACCGUGGGUUGACCACGCCUGGUCCAGGCAGCGUUCCAUUGCACUGUAAGAAAAAUUCACUGUAAUUCUCCCCUAUUAAAAUCGACCCCACCCCAUGCACUGUUGCAAAUAAACACUCCUUUCUGCAAAAGCUAGUGUGUGAU